RNAcentral lists this ribosomal RNA (467 nucleotides) under uncultured bacterium. RNAcentral's name for it is "partial 16S ribosomal RNA". It matches the Rfam family "Bacterial small subunit ribosomal RNA", at positions 28 to 506 of the family's 1533-position model. The record is from RNAcentral.
GACGAACGCUGGCGGCGUGCUUAACACAUGCAAGUCGAACGGGAAGGCCCUGCUUUUGUGGGGUGCUCGAGUGGCGAACGGGUGAGUAACACGUGAGUAACCUGCCCUUGACUUUGGGAUAACUUCAGGAAACUGGGGCUAAUACCGGAUAGGAGCUCCUGCUGCAUGGUGGGGGUUGGAAAGUUUCGGCGGUUGGGGAUGGACUCGCGGCUUAUCAGCUUGUUGGUGGGGUAGUGGCUUACCAAGGCUUUGACGGGUAGCCGGCCUGAGAGGGUGACCGGCCACAUUGGGACUGAGAUACGGCCCAGACUCCUACGGGAGGCAGCAGUGGGGAAUAUUGCACAAUGGGCGGAAGCCUGAUGCAGCAACGCCGCGUGCGGGAUGACGGCCUUCGGGUUGUAAACCGCUUUCGCCUGUGACGAAGCGUGAGUGACGGGAAUGGGUAAAGAAGCACCGGCUAACUACGU